This 255-nucleotide ribosomal RNA is filed under the name uncultured bacterium. Its description in RNAcentral is "partial 16S ribosomal RNA". It matches the Rfam family "Bacterial small subunit ribosomal RNA", at positions 524 to 777 of the family's 1533-position model. The record is from RNAcentral.
UACAGAGGGUGCGAGCGUUGUCCGGAAUCACUGGGCGUAAAGGGCGCGUAGGUGGCGACCCAAGUCGAUGGUGAAAGCUCGCCGCUCAACGGCGAGUCGGCCACCGAUACUGGGUUGCUGGAGCACUGUAGAGGCUCAUGGAAUUCCGGGUGUAGCGGUGGAAUGCGUAGAGAUCCGGAAGAACACCGGUGGCGAAGGCGGUGAGCUGGGCAGUUGCUGACACUGGAGGCGCGACAGCGUGGGGAGCAAACAGGG